GUCAGUUACAAAUAUGGCGUUUUGGACGGGCUCGAUAGUUUGCUUGGCCUCUACUCAAGGAAUGCUGAUGGUAUAGCAAGAAGGUAUUCUGAGCAUUAUAUCAAUGGGGAAGUUCUAGAUCUUUUGCAAAGCAGGAGAGUCAUCCUAGGGCAUCCAGAGGCCUUCAGGGUGGCCUGAAGUCUCCCACCGCACCACCUUUGGGUUAACCUAGCCUGUCCCACAGAAGAUGAUGAAGUUGGGUCUGGAGGCAAGCUGACUCAGAUGGAUUCUCGAUUUUAUGAUGCUGGACUGGAGAUGGGUUUCACCAUGUUGCCCAAGCUAGUCUCGAACUCGUGGACUCAAGCAAUCCACCUGCCUCAGCCUCCCAAAGUGCCUUACAGGCGUGAGCCACCGCACCUGGCUGAACUGUCCCUUCACACUUACCUUCAGUCCUGGAGGGAGGACCUCUUGCUUGUGGAUCUGGAUGACAGUGAUACUCACAAGUACCACAAUACUCACAAGCAAGACCACCAAGGCAAUGAUGGUUGGAGUUCGGUAGAGGGCCUUGAGGCCUAAAAUGAGAAGACCCAGAAGACACUUGAGGGGGAGGUAAAAACCAGGCACUGGUAUUCUUUGUAGAAUUGAUGGACUGGCCCCAUAAUCAGGUGCAUAAACCACCUUCUCUGGUGUUAGCGAGACCCACACUUCUAAGAUGGAGUAGCAAAUAAGCUCCCCUUCUCCCCAG
This 724-nucleotide long non-coding RNA is filed under the name Homo sapiens (human). RNAcentral describes it as "ENTPD3, EIF1B and MYRIP antisense RNA 1". Lineage: Eukaryota; Metazoa; Chordata; Mammalia; Primates; Hominidae. The record is from RNAcentral.